RNAcentral lists this ribosomal RNA (255 nucleotides) under uncultured bacterium. RNAcentral describes it as "partial 16S ribosomal RNA". It matches the Rfam family "Bacterial small subunit ribosomal RNA", at positions 524 to 773 of the family's 1533-position model. The record is from RNAcentral.
GACAGAGGGUGCAAACGUUGUUCGGAAUUACUGGGCGUAAAGCGCGUGUAGGCGGCUAAGUAAGUCGGGCGUGAAAUCCCACGGCUCAACCGUGGAAGUGCACUCGAAACUGCAUAGCUAGAGUCCUGGAGAGGAAGGUGGAAUGCUUGGUGUAGAGGUGAAAUUCGUAGAUAUCAAGCGGAACACCGGUGGCGAAGGCGGCCUUCUGGACAGUGACUGACGCUGAGACGGCGAAAAGCGGUGGGGAGACCAAAC